GAUGAACGCUAGCUACAGGCUUAACACAUGCAAGUCGCGGGGCAGCAUGGGGGUUGCUUGCAAUCCCCGAUGGCGACCGGCGCACGGGUGAGUAACGCGUAUCCAACCUGCCCUUCACCACGGGAUAACCCGGCGAAAGUCGGACUAAUACCGUAUGUUGUCCAUUGACGGCAUCCGAUUUGGACGAAAGGCUUGGCGGUGAGGGAUGGGGAUGCGUCCGAUUAGCCAGACGGCGGGGUAACGGCCCACCGUGGCUACGAUCGGUAGGGGUUCUGAGAGGAAGGUCCCCCACACUGGAACUGAGACACGGACCAGACUCCUACGGGAGGCAGCAGUGAGGAAUAUUGGUCAAUGGGCGUAAGCCUGAACCAGCCAAGUAGCGUGCAGGAUGACGGCCCUAUGGGUUGUAAACUGCUUUUAUGCGGGGAUAAAGUGGCCCACGUGUGGGCUUUUGCAGGUACCGCAUGAAUAAGGACCGGCUAAUUCCGUG
RNAcentral lists this ribosomal RNA (490 nucleotides) under uncultured bacterium. Its description in RNAcentral is "partial 16S ribosomal RNA". It matches the Rfam family "Bacterial small subunit ribosomal RNA", at positions 28 to 507 of the family's 1533-position model. The record is from RNAcentral.